This 446-nucleotide ribosomal RNA is filed under the name uncultured bacterium. RNAcentral describes it as "partial 16S ribosomal RNA". It matches the Rfam family "Bacterial small subunit ribosomal RNA", at positions 338 to 795 of the family's 1533-position model. The record is from RNAcentral.
CCUACGGGUGGCUGCAGUCGAGAAUCAUUCACAAUGGGGGAAACCCUGAUGGUGCGACGCCGCGUGGGGGAAUGAAGGUCUUCGGAUUGUAAACUCCUGUCAUGUGGGAGCAAAAUAACAAGAUCGUACUACAAGACGCAGAGACGGCUAACUCUGUGCCAGCAGCCGCGGUAAUACAGAGGUCUCAAGCGUUGUUCGGAUUCACUGGGCGUAAAGCGUGCGUAGGCUGUUUCGUAAGUCGUGUGUGAAAGGCGAGGGCUCAACCCGCGACAGGCACAUGGUACUGCGAGACUAGAGUGAAGGAGGGGGAAGCGGAAUUCUCGGUGUAGCAGUGAAAUGCGUAGAUAUCGGGAGGAACACUCGUGGCGAAGGCGGGUUACUGGACAGUAACUGACGCUGAGGCACGAAGGCCAGGGGAGCGAAAGGGAUUAGAUACCCUAGUAGUC